GAUGAACGCUGGCGGCAUGCUUAACGCAUGCAAGUCGGACGGGAAGUGGUGUUUCCCGUGGCGGUCGGGUGAGUAACGCGUAAGAACCUGCCCUUGGGAGGGGAACAACAGCUGGAAACGGCUGCUAAUACCCCGUAGGCUGAGGAGCAAAAGGAGGAAUCCGCCUGAGGAGGGGCUCACGUCUGAUUAGCUAGUUGGUGAGGCAAUAGCUUACCAAGGCGAUGAUCAGUAGAUGGUCCUAGAGGAUGAUCAGCCACACUGGGACUGAGACACGGCCCAGACAACUAGGGGAGGCAGGAGUGGGGAAGAUACAGCAAUGGGAGAAAGGAGGAAGGAGCAAUGCGGCGGGGAGGUAGAAGGCCUACGGGAAGUGAAAUUCUGAUCCAGGAGAAGAAGAAAUGACGGUAACUGGGGAAUAAGCAACGGCUAACUCUGUG
RNAcentral lists this ribosomal RNA (437 nucleotides) under uncultured bacterium. Its description in RNAcentral is "partial 16S ribosomal RNA". It matches the Rfam family "Bacterial small subunit ribosomal RNA", at positions 28 to 507 of the family's 1533-position model. The record is from RNAcentral.